UACGGGGGGUGCGAGCGUUGUUCGGAAUCACUGGGCGUAAAGGGCGUGUAGGCGGUCAAGUAAGUGGAAUGUGAAAUCCCUCGGCUCACCCGAGGACCUGCAUCCCAAACUGCUUGGCUUGAGUAUGGGAGAGGAUGAGGGAAUUCCUGGUGUAGCGGUGAAAUGCGUAGAUAUCAGGAGGAACACCGGUGGCGAAAGCGCUCAUCUGGCCCAAUACUGACGCUGAAGCGCGAAAGCUAGGGGAGCAAACGGG
RNAcentral lists this ribosomal RNA (253 nucleotides) under uncultured bacterium. RNAcentral's name for it is "partial 16S ribosomal RNA". It matches the Rfam family "Bacterial small subunit ribosomal RNA", at positions 524 to 776 of the family's 1533-position model. The record is from RNAcentral.